GUACACUCCUGCGGGAGGCAGCAGUGGGGAAUUUUGGACAAUGGGCGAAAGCCUGAUCCAGCCAUGCCGCGUGCAGGAUGAAGGCCUUCGGGUUGUAAACUGCUUUUGUACGGAACGAAACGGCCUUUUCUAAUAAAGAGGGCUAAUGACGGUACCGUAAGAAUAAGCACCGGCUAACUACGUGCCAGCAGCCGCGGUAAUACGUAGGGUGCAAGCGUUAAUCGGAAUUACUGGGCGUAAAGCGUGCGCAGGCGGUUAUGUAAGACAGUUGUGAAAUCCCCGGGCUCAACCUGGGAACUGCAUCUGUGACUGCAUAGCUAGAGUACGGUAGAGGGGGAUGGAAUUCCGCGUGUAGCAGUGAAAUGCGUAGAUAUGCGGAGGAACACCGAUGGCGAAGGCAAUCCCCUGGACCUGUACUGACGCUCAUGCACGAAAGCGUGGGGAGCAAACAGGAUUAGAAACCCUAGUAGUCCCAUG
Molecule: ribosomal RNA, 477 nt
Filed under: uncultured organism
Description: partial 16S ribosomal RNA
Rfam family: Bacterial small subunit ribosomal RNA
Source: RNAcentral